Molecule: long non-coding RNA, 208 nt
Filed under: Bos taurus (domestic cattle)
Lineage: Eukaryota; Metazoa; Chordata; Mammalia; Artiodactyla; Bovidae
Description: long non-coding RNA NONBTAT021478
Source: RNAcentral
GCAUGUCACGCUUCUCCACAUGCCACAUAGGCAGCCUUAUAGAACUGACGUGCAGGGACUCCUUACAUCAGUAGGGCAGCAGUGUAUUAAUCACAUGCUGGGAAAGCAUUUGGCUGACUCUAGCCUAGGCCUGGAAGAAAAGCCCUUGGAGCAAAGGCAGCCCUCUUUUCUCCUCUUUAGCUCUUCUCCCUCCCCGCCGCCCCCACAC